AUUUUGUUUUUCUUGGAAUUUUAUUUCAUAAAUUCCCUGAUGCCCAGGAUAAAUGUGGAUUUUUCCAGAGGAAAUUUGUGUGUGUCUGCCAGGCUCUGGAAUCACUCCCAACCCAGGAUCACUCUAAAGUUGUUCUCAGUUUUCAGAUUACCCAGGUGGUGUGAAUUCAGGCUGCACAACCUUGAAGGAGCCACUUGUGGUUUCCAUAUUCUCAGAGUUGUUAAUGGGCAUUUGGAUUGUUUUCACCUUCUCACCAUUGUGAAUACCUACUACUGUGAACCUUGGUGUACAAGGAGAGAGAGCACACGUGCAGGGAAGA
Molecule: long non-coding RNA, 319 nt
Organism: Ailuropoda melanoleuca (giant panda)
Lineage: Eukaryota; Metazoa; Chordata; Mammalia; Carnivora; Ursidae
Exons: 3
Source: RefSeq, a predicted model, not a curated record